UCCGAUUUUAAUAUCGGCAGUCUCUUUAGAGUGCCCAACUUAAUGCUGGCAACUAAAGACAGGGGUUGCGCUCGUUAUGGGACUUAACCCGACAUCUCACGACACGAGCUGACGACAGCCAUGCAGCACCUGAUGAUAGUGUCCCGAAGGCCGACUCUAUCUCUAGAGUAUUCACUACCACUUCAAACCCAGGUAAGGUUUUUCGCGUUGCAUCGAAUUGAACCACAUGCUCCACCGUUUGUGCGGGCCCCCGUCAAUUUCUUUGAGUUUUAAUCUUGCGACCGUACUUCCCAGGCGGGAUACUUAACGCGUUAGCUUCGGCACUGAAGGGGUCAAUACCUCCAACACCAAGUAUCCAUCGUUUACGGUGCGGACUAC
This 378-nucleotide unclassified non-coding RNA is filed under the name uncultured Pseudobdellovibrionaceae bacterium. RNAcentral describes it as "uncultured Bdellovibrionaceae bacterium contains 16S-23S intergenic spacer region". Lineage: Bacteria; Pseudomonadati; Bdellovibrionota; Bdellovibrionia; Bdellovibrionales; Pseudobdellovibrionaceae. The record is from RNAcentral.